Molecule: long non-coding RNA, 1014 nt
Organism: Cebus imitator (Panamanian white-faced capuchin)
Lineage: Eukaryota; Metazoa; Chordata; Mammalia; Primates; Cebidae
Exons: 3
Source: RefSeq, a predicted model, not a curated record
UUCUCCAUCGAACAUGUACAUAACAAUUGUGAUCAUAUUAACUGUACUUCAGUUUUGUGUUUUUAUUCAAAUGUUAUCUCCUUUUUUUCUCUCUGAGAAAUAUACUGUCACUGAUGUGACAGGGUCUAUACUUUAAUAACGUGUAUAUGUCUAAAGCAGGUUGUGUUAUUUACAUGUUUCUACACAUUUCAUCCUUUAAAAGAUUGUUCAGAGAGGUUGUAUUUACCUUCCCAAGGCUGGAAAGCAGGGGAAUUUACUAGUUUCCUAGUUUUCCACCAGAGGAAUAUGUGUAAGUAGAAAAGUGUUAGCUGCUUACAUAUAGUGUGUAUGUAUGGAUGGAUAUAUGUAAAUUGUGUGUUAAAGGGCUGAUACUGAUUUUCAUAUGACAAUGUUAGGCAAAGGCCUCCCUGCACUUGAAGAGCAGUGGAAAUGUGGGGGGAGACCAAAGCUGCGAUUCCAGUCCACACCAGAGCCCAGAAAGAUUCCCAGGGGCCUGGAGAUGCCUCCUGAGCACCAGGAGCCUGUGGAAUGCAGGAAGGAUGGUCCUACAGGGACCACGAGGAACAGCAAUUGUCUGUAGUAAAAUACGAAUGACAAAGGCAGGAAGGCAAAAGAAGGCUCCCAGGUCGGCCCAGGUACAGGCCAGACAUCAGGCCCCAGGGGUCUGGAGCGGGCAGGAGGUGAAUGACAGGACAUGGCGUGAAGCAAUCAAUUUAUAUGGAGGACAUGAGUGAGAUCAGAAGAGGCCGCUGAACGCUGGACUUGAGCCAAGCAUGGGGUGCCCGGACCCGCUCUUGACUCACAGGAGCUGGACCUCGGGUCAUCCCAAGCCACUCCUGGCUUAUGGUGGGAGCGCACAUGUUCCAAAACCCAGGACAGUGAGGACUGUAUUUGGGGCAGAGUAAGAAGAAAUGGAUCAGAGCAACAUACAAAAGAUCUAAGGACAAUAAAUAAAGGCUUAAUUCUUGUUUUAAACAUAAUUUGUCAAAGUGUUUGCAUUUUUGUGAUUUUGUU